GCCUAGUUAGCUUAGUUGGUAGUGCGUCUGCCUUGUAAGCGCUAGGCCGUGGGUUCAAAUCCCGCCCAGGGCG
RNAcentral lists this transfer RNA (73 nucleotides) under Diaphorina citri (Asian citrus psyllid). It matches the Rfam family "tRNA". From Rfam's summary of the family: Transfer RNA (tRNA) molecules are approximately 80 nucleotides in length. Their secondary structure includes four short double-helical elements and three loops (D, anti-codon, and T loops). The record is from Rfam by way of RNAcentral. Lineage: Eukaryota; Metazoa; Arthropoda; Insecta; Hemiptera; Psyllidae.